Molecule: ribosomal RNA, 274 nt
Filed under: uncultured bacterium
Lineage: Bacteria
Description: partial 16S ribosomal RNA
Rfam family: Bacterial small subunit ribosomal RNA
Source: RNAcentral
AUACAGAGGGUGCGAGCGUUAAUCGGAAUUACUGGGCGUAAAGCGUGCGUAGGUGGUCUGUUAAGUCAGGUGUGAAAGCCCUGGGCUCAACCUAGGAAUUGCAUUUGAUACUGGCAGACUAGAGUGUGGUAGAGGGUAGUGGAAUUCCCGGUGUAGCGGUGAAAUGCGUAGAUAUCGGGAGGAACAUCAGUGGCGAAGGCGGCUACCUGGACCAACACUGACACUGAGGUACGAAAGCGUGGGGAGCAAACAGGAUUAGAAACCCCGGUAGUCC